Molecule: ribosomal RNA, 257 nt
Filed under: uncultured bacterium
Lineage: Bacteria
Description: partial 16S ribosomal RNA
Rfam family: Bacterial small subunit ribosomal RNA
Source: RNAcentral
GGGAAGCAAGACCGCGAGGUGGAGCAAAUCCCUAAAAGCCAUCCCAGUUCGGAUUGCAGGCUGCAACCCGCCCUGUAUGAAGUUGGAAUCGCUAGUAAUCGCGGAUCAGCAUGCCGCGGUGAAUACGUUCCCGGGCCUUGUACACACCGCCCGUCACACCAUGAGAGUCGGGAACACCCGAAGUCCGUAGCCUAACCGCAAGGGGGGCGCGGCCGAAGGUGGGUUCGAUAAUUGGGGUGAAGUCGUAACAAGGUAGC